This is a long non-coding RNA of Zingiber officinale, 795 nucleotides long. RefSeq lists it as uncharacterized. The transcript is spliced from 3 exons. The record is from RefSeq and is a predicted model, not a curated record. NCBI's taxonomy places the organism in Eukaryota, Viridiplantae, Streptophyta, Magnoliopsida, Zingiberales, Zingiberaceae.
ACUUCAUGGAUCAACUCACUGCCGACGAAAUCGUUUUCCAUAAGUCCUGCUUCAAGUGCAAUAACUACAAAGGAACCCUCACGCUCGAUAGGAUCAUCUGCAACCACUUCAACGUUGAGGUGAUGAUGAUGAUGGGAGGCUAUAAUAUUUUGGCUCUAUUGGAUUUCAACUUUCUUAAUUCUGAUGGAAUAUUGCUAGGUAUGAUAAUUAACCACUAUCAGUUGAAUAAGUUAAAUCACGUUAUGAAAAAUUUCAAUCAUUUUUGUAGAAAGCGGUUGGUAAUUGCAUAAAUAAUGAUUUAACAUUAGAAGAGUUUUUCUACUCUUCAUCUUUUGUUUCUUUAAUGGAAGGUGUUUUGUAUUGUAAGCCUCACUUUGAACAACUCUUCAAGGAAUCUGGCAACUUCAACAGAAUUUUCAAUCACUGUCUUUUCAGAUAUUUUGAAUGGUAAAUGGAGAUAUUCAGAAACUCCAACUAAAUAGCUCGGAUAUGGAUGAUUAUAGGAGCAGCAACUACAUGCUAUGUGGCACUGCAUCCAAAUUUCAAGGGUGUGAUUGGAAAGUACUUCGACGAAGAACUAUUAAGAAGACUUUGGGAUUUAAACAAGAAGAUGGUUAAAGCCAAUGAGUAAAGAACAUUCAAGUCAAGAGGAUAAGUAGCAUCCAUCAAGAUUCUUUAAAUUCAUGCAAUAAGAUGUAGUCAAUAGGAGUAGUUUUGAGUGUUUCCUAAUUAAAAUUUCUUUGUAUGCAAGUAAUUAUGUUUGUUAUAGAUGUGUAAGGAUGAUAAUUUCUAUAU